This 253-nucleotide ribosomal RNA is filed under the name uncultured bacterium. Its description in RNAcentral is "partial 16S ribosomal RNA". It matches the Rfam family "Bacterial small subunit ribosomal RNA", at positions 524 to 776 of the family's 1533-position model. The record is from RNAcentral.
UACGGAGGGUCCAAGCGUUAUCCGGAAUCAUUGGGUUUAAAGGGUCCGUAGGCGGGUCUGUAAGUCAGUGGUGAAAUCUCCCGGCUUAACCGGGAAAUGGCCAUUGAUACUGCAGGUCUUGAAUUAUUCGGAAGUAACUAGAAUAUGUAGUGUAGCGGUGAAAUGCUUAGAGAUUACAUGGAAUACCAAUUGCGAAGGCAGGUUACUAUCAAUAUAUUGACGCUCAUGCACGAAAGCGUGGGGAGCAAACAGG